This 254-nucleotide ribosomal RNA is filed under the name uncultured bacterium. RNAcentral's name for it is "partial 16S ribosomal RNA". It matches the Rfam family "Bacterial small subunit ribosomal RNA", at positions 524 to 776 of the family's 1533-position model. The record is from RNAcentral.
UACGUAGGGCGCAAGCGUUAUCCGGAAUUAUUGGGCGUAAAGAGCUCGUAGGCGGUUUGUCGCGUCUGCCGUGAAAGUCCGGGGCUCAACUCCGGAUCUGCGGUGGGUACGGGCAGACUAGAGUGAUGUAGGGGGAGACUGGAAUUCCUGGUGUAGCGGUGAAAUGCGCAGAUAUCAGGAGGAACACCGAUGGCGAAGGCGGCCCACUGGGCCGGUACUGACGCUGAGGCACGAAGGCGUGGGGAGCGAACGGG